Molecule: long non-coding RNA, 2456 nt
Filed under: Musa acuminata (dwarf banana)
Lineage: Eukaryota; Viridiplantae; Streptophyta; Magnoliopsida; Zingiberales; Musaceae
Description: long non-coding RNA (MACU_LNC010193)
Source: RNAcentral
GAUAUACCACUAUAAGAAUUUGCGGUGGAGGUGUGACUCAGCUCAGAUCAACCCCAUAGGAAUACAGAAAGAAACAGCCCUACUGGAUUUUGGAUCAAUGGCAAAACCAACCCUACUAUCUUUUGAAUCAAUAGCAGCACAUAGGUAGCGCAAUGCACUUGACUCAUUCUACUUAGAAUAGGGAUAAUACUAAGCUCAAACAGGAGAAUGAACUAUAUGAUAGGUGUUGGGUCGACGACACCCCUUCGCUCGUACUAUUCUUUACAUCCGGGGAUCGGGCAAGGAAGGAUAUGGGUUUUCUAUUACAACACAGUAUAUAGUUUUUCUAUGGCAAAUAAGAAUUCAAAGGUGGAAAACAACUUCAUAAGCCCUAACCAUUAUAAGAAUCAAUCUCAGAAUACAGAAUUCAAGUAAUAUGUACCAGAAUGCAAAUACAGCUAUCGUACUUUACCUACAGCUUCCGAGCCCUACUCUUUGCCUUACUCUUUAGUUCGCCCAAGCCGCCUUACGACCUACAUCGCUACCCAAGCCUUACUUUUCCGCUUCUCUCUUCCCCUCCGUCCUCGCUGGAAUUCUCUCUUUUCUUCCUAAAUAGCUUGUCAUUAUUCAAUUGACUUAUAUUCAUUAUAAUGAUUCUGUUAACUUCUAUUAAUUAUUUGACUUACUUAUAUUUCUCAUAUAUUUAUUUAGAUUCUAUUUGAGAGUAGUUAAUUAGAUAAACAAGUAUAGAACCUAGGUCGAAAAAGAUAUCUUCUUUGUCAAUUGAACGAUGGAGCUAUGGUUCCGGUGUGAAGUAAACAUCCCUAUUAUUCUCAGUAUUCUUAGUAAAGCAAUAGGCUACCCGAAUGGAACACCUACUGGAUAACAAGGUACGAGCAUCGGCUAACAAGACUAUAGCUCAAGACAGGUAAUUCACCAGUACCCUUAACGACUGUAACAAGGAAUACAUAAUGCAAGUCAGAAGGCAAAGAGCAGGUAUCGGAUCGGCAAAGAGCUGGUAUCGGAUCGGCUUCAUUUCGAUUCUUUUAUUUCUUCUUUUUCUCCAUAGUUGGCCAACCAAUGCUUCUCAUCCUUUAGCUCGAUUCUAAUAGGACCUUAGCCCGGAACGUAGCUUGCCCCACUCUACUGAUGAGGAUGAAAACACCGCGAACAGGGCUAGAGCUCCCACUGACAAGGAUCGAACUAAUGCCAACAAGACUUCACUCAGGAAUCAACCUACUCCUAGUAAGCGCUAACCUAGGAACUCCGCCUAUAUUCCUUACCCAUGAGCCUGCCCCGCUUUCACUUCAUUAUUUACCUUAUGAUAGGUAGUUGGGCUAGUGCUUCUAAUACUUAAACAAGAAACUGGGAACCCGGCUUACUACUUAGAAUACUUACAUCCCAUAACACUUAGAAGAUACUUACUUCACAAACUAACCAAGGCUACCUAUCUUUGUUUUCAGUCCAGCAUUGCUCUAUCUCAUUCUACUGCUCUUUGCUUCGAAUCUGAUAUUACAGUAAAACAACAGGACUUUAACUCAUAACCAGUAAUUCGACUGGUGCUUCUAAGCCUUCCCUACUAACCUCGAACCUAGCUUUACCACAACUUAGCCUCUAUACACCUUUGCUUUUAGUCUUAUACUUGUUCCUUCGACUCCGAUAUGCGAGUUAGGUUCACCAAGCGACUACCCUCCCCUGACUUUAGUAUGAGAGGUGCUCUUUUCAGUAUUGUUGGCAUUAGUAUAAGUUUGAGAUAAAGCAGUGCCAGGCCAAUGGAAGGUAUAGACAUACAGGUAAUCCGGAAAGUCAUAAUAGAGUGCUCCUCCAAGGUGAUAGAGUGAAAGUAGUGGUACAAUUUUAGAUACAGUAAAGCAAGGCUCUUAGACAGAGUAUUAGAAUUCCAAAUAGUAGUAGAACAAUCAAAGGCAGGAAUGGCAGUGGAAAUGCAAGGAAGCUAAGCCUAACAAGCAAGACUCUAAGUAAGGGUUGAGAUCCGUAAUGUCAAGUUUUACACAGGAGAAUAGGAAUUAGGUCCGGCAAUUGCAGUUGAAAAGAAAGGAGAGUCAGCUUUAGGCGCAGUAAAGCAAUCCUGAGAUAUAGUCAAAGUGAGCUUUGAGUUCAGUAGCUAAAGGAUGAGAAGCAUGAUUGAUUUUAUAUACUCCCGGCGCGGGUUCUAAGCCUGAAGCCUUUCAGCGAGGAUGGAAGUCCGUGGUUUAAUAACAAGAGAAGUCCGUUUUCGAAUGAGAGAGUAGUAAAUGAGGUUCGGUCGGGGUCACGAGUAGUAGGCUUGGUUUGUGAAGUCCGUUUUCUAAGUAGUAGCUGACCUAGUUGAGUUCCGGCUUCUUUCUUUUCUUCUUAUGAUCCGGGGGUUUACUCCGGUACUAAUGUGAGUAUUCCCUUUCUGGUGUUUAUUCCUCUGAGUCAACUUCAUUCUUAGUAGUUGUAGCUCGAUUCUGAUAGAGUCGCCCGGGUUCCCU